Molecule: ribosomal RNA, 246 nt
Filed under: uncultured bacterium
Lineage: Bacteria
Description: partial small subunit ribosomal RNA
Rfam family: Bacterial small subunit ribosomal RNA
Source: RNAcentral
AGAAUCAACGCUGGCGGCGUGCCUAACACAUGCAAGUCGCACGAGAAAGGGGACUUCGGUCCCUGAGUACAGUGGCGCACGGGUGAGUAACACGUGAAUCAUCUACCUUCGAGUGGGGAAUAACUGAGAGAAAUCUUAGCUAAUACCGCAUAAUACCUACGGGUCAAAGCAGCAAUGCGCUUGAAGAGGAGUUCGCGGCAGAUUAGUUAGUUGGCGGGGUAAUGGCCCACAAGACGAUGAUCUGUA